GGGGCGCCCUGCGGGGAGAGGAGGGUGUCCCGGGUGCUCUGCUGCUCGCGAGCAAAAGGUUCUUGUUUUAACGGUGCUGCGCGGUGUUUGUUGCGGAAAUGUCUCUGUCCCCGUCCCCCCGUUACAAAGGGACGCUGCUCCCGUGUGCAACACGGGAGGGUUGCGAGUGUUGGGAAAGAUGGGUGCAAAUUCUUGGGGAGUUUGGGGAUUUUUAUUUCUAAUGUAGCCAGAAAAUAGGGUUUGGUGGAGGCUCCAAAGCUUUUGCUUUUGUCUGGAAUUUACAGUGUUGUUGUUUUGAAUAGUUUCAUAGCUGUAUGUUUUCUCUGAGCAUGUAUUACAGCCCAGUGAUGUGCCUUAACUAUGUGAAAUAUUUUAUCUUUUAAAUAGUUAAUUCUGUUUCAAAAUUGAGUUCCAGGCACAUGGAGUGAAGCUGGACUCCCGCGGCUCCAGCAUUAUGCCUGUUGCUUUUCUCUUUGGUUACUUUGCAGCAUGCGUGUGCUCUUCUAGUAAGUGCUGGAUAUGUGAAUUUUGCCCCCACUGAGUUCAGUAGCCUGAUUCAGUAAUGGAACAGCUGCUGACUGGCAGACACGGUGCCUUCCAAAAGACAAGCACCUACUAGUAAAAAACCAAGGGGCACACCUUUUACUGAAUAGGUAAAUGCAGAUAUUAUCAUCUUCACAUUACUGUUUAGUUAUUAAUUCCAUAUGUAAAAGUGUACAAAUGAUGUGGAGGAUGAGAGAAAAAGGCUGAGCCCCUGCAAAGCAUGCAAGAAAAAAUACGCAACACUCACUCCAGAACAUUAUAACAAAAUGAGCUAGUGUAUUUUAUUUUGGGUAACAGCCAAGAAAUCUGACAUUUUGUCCAAUAUGGCUUUCUUCUAAAAUUAAAAAGUUGCAUAUACCUCCCGUUGAGUCCACCAGCUACAGAAAUUCUGUUGUAUACAUCUUUAAUCCAUGGCAGCAUCACCAGAGUACAGCUUUCAGUGGCGUUUUCAAGCUGAAUUAGAAGAUAAAGUUUUAAAAUAAUAAGUUUUAAAAUGUUCAUUUAGAAGAUUUUAUAUUGUUUAUAUGAAAACAUACAAAUUUUUCAUUUAUACAUAUACUACAUAUAAAACUCCUUGUAAUUAGCAAGUAUCUUCAUCUGGGUAUUUACCUUUGUGCAUAUAGCGAAAAAAGGAUGUAGUUAGGGCUUCAGAUGAAAUAUUAAAGUUCAGACCUUUGUAUAUGCUAACUAAAAGCUUAUUCAAAUAACUUGAACGUUUUCCCCUGCUUUUAAAAGAUAAAGAGAUUCAGCUUAAAAAUACAUUCAUAAAACAAAGAGACAUUUUUCUCCCUGAGACUACCAGUGUGAGUUACUUUGUGGUAAUCUUUGAAUGAAAAAAUUAUGUAAAAAAAGACAGUAAGUUCUAGUUUUGUUCUAGUUCUAGUUUUGCCCAUUUCUUGAGCAAAGCUGGCAUCAUAAAAGGUGUAGACUGGAGAAUCAUGCUCACUAGCUGAAAAAAACAUUGCCAUAUAUCAGUUUCAGUAGAAGAAAAACUUUAAUAUAGACAAGGGAAGGUAAUUAAGUUUUAAUGAAAGAUCUGUGGUAUGUAUAAAUGGGAAAAAGUUGGGUGUGUGUGUGUUUGGUUUGGGGUUGUUUUCCCUUUCAUUUCAGACAUGAGUUUUAUCCAAAGCAGGACUACCUGCUACAGAUUCUCUACAAAGAAGAGACAGAUUCUCUAUCUGCAUGUAGAUUCUCAGUUUAUAGAGAUACUUAGUAUAGUAUUCUAAAUGUUUCAGGCAUUUGUUUUUGUUAAUAUUCAUAAAAGAAAUACGUAACUUGUAGGAACGGUUUCUGCUUAAAUUUAACGAUAACAUGUUUGAUUAUAACUAGAUGGCAAAGUUUCAUGAGCAGCAAAUGAGUCAACCUCCCCGCCCCAAUGAACAGCUCCUGCUUUGUGGCUGUCUUCAUCCUCUCCUCAAAAUCCCUCUGCUCUGAAAGCUACCCUGGUUUUACUUCACAUUCCUCCUUUUAAGUGUUAAAAAGAGAUAGUUUUUAAACUGCUACAAAGUAACAGAAUAGAAUUUGGAUGCAUUAAACAUAUCCUGCGGAAACUGGGGAAGAGAGUGAGAGAUACACUUUCCUUUAACAAUUUAAAUUGUAUUUAUAGUAACCAUGCAAUUAUGUUGUUUUUGCGGGGAAAAGCCCUACCUGAAAUGAAAGAAAACACAUUUAUAG
This is a long non-coding RNA of Strigops habroptila (Kakapo), 2217 nucleotides long. RefSeq lists it as uncharacterized. The transcript is spliced from 2 exons. The record is from RefSeq and is a predicted model, not a curated record. NCBI's taxonomy places the organism in Eukaryota, Metazoa, Chordata, Aves, Psittaciformes, Psittacidae.